RNAcentral lists this ribosomal RNA (350 nucleotides) under uncultured bacterium. RNAcentral's name for it is "bacterial SSU rRNA". It matches the Rfam family "Bacterial small subunit ribosomal RNA", at positions 29 to 347 of the family's 1533-position model. The record is from RNAcentral.
AAUGAACGCUGGCGGCGUGGUUAAGACAUGCAAGUCGAGCGGGACAGUAAACUGGUAGCAAUACAUUUAUUGUCCAGCGGCGAACGGGUGCGUAACACGUGAACAAUCUACCUUUAAGUGGGGAAUAGGCUCGGCGAAAGCCGAAUUAAUACCGCAUGUGGUGGCCUCGUCUCCUGAGAGACCUACUAAAGGUCGGGGACCGCAAGGCCUGACGCUUGAAGAGGAGUUCGCGGCCUANCAGCUAGUUGGCGAGGUAACGGCUCACCGAAGGCCUAAGACGGGUAGCGUGGUCUGAGAGGACUGAUCAGCCACACUGGAACUGGAGACACGGUCCAGACACCGUACGGGUA